This 444-nucleotide ribosomal RNA is filed under the name uncultured Streptococcus sp. RNAcentral describes it as "bacterial SSU rRNA". It matches the Rfam family "Bacterial small subunit ribosomal RNA", at positions 936 to 1382 of the family's 1533-position model. Lineage: Bacteria; Bacillati; Bacillota; Bacilli; Lactobacillales; Streptococcaceae. The record is from RNAcentral.
AGCAUGUGGUUUAAUUCGAAGCAACGCGAAGAACCUUACCAGGUCUUGACAUCCCGAUGCUAUUUCUAGAGAUAGAAAGUUACUUCGGUACAUCGGUGACAGGUGGUGCAUGGUUGUCGUCAGCUCGUGUCGUGAGAUGUUGGGUUAAGUCCCGCAACGAGCGCAACCCCUAUUGUUAGCUGCCAUCAUUCAGUUGGGCACUCUAGCGAGACUGCCGGUAAUAAACCGGAGGAAGGUGGGAUGACGUCAAAUCAUCAUGCCCCUUAUGACCUGGGCUACACACGUGCUACAAUGGUUGGUACAACGAGUUGCGAGUCGGUGACGGCGAGCUAAUCUCUUAAAGCCAAUCUCAGUUCGGAUUGUAGGCUGCAACUCGCCUACAUGAAGUCGGAAUCGCUAGUAAUCGCGGAUCAGCACGCCGCGGUGAAUACGUUCCCGGGCCUU